CGACACUUUGCUGUAUGCAUUGUAUUUUAUAAAGAGAACCAAAUUGUGUCAGUCAUGAGGUAGAGGGAUUAGAUUUUUUCUGCUUGGACCCUGACAGCAGAGCCUCUUAUGUGCACUUUACAAAUCAUUAUCUCAUUUAUUAAGUACCUACUAUGUGCUAAGUGAUUUACAGAUAUUAUCUCAUCGGAUCCUUACAACAACCCUGGCAAACAGAUGCUAUUCUUCUUCUCAUUUUAUAGUUGAGGAAACUCAUGAGGAAGCUUAAUGUAGCAUUCCAGGAGAAAAUGGAUGCAUACUUGACCUGUGGUGAUGGUUAUGUGAUGGAAAGGAAACAUCUAUGAGAAAGGUAGAGAAAUAAAUGAUUGGAUUUGGCAUUAGAGGACUAAACAUCUAGGUUCUAAAAUUCUAUCCAGUUCCAACAUUUUAGACCAUGACACAGAAAUGGUCUGGCGUGCUAUGGUGUUUGUAGCUUGUUAUCAUGAAAACCAUUAUAAGUUUUCAGAAGUGGAGAUCUUGUUCCUGGGUAUCCAGGAUAUCCACCCAGCAGAAUCCACAUGCAGAUUGAAGCAUACUAUUCUUCACUUUAUUUCCUCUAUGAAUUUUUCACUAGUGUAAGAAAUGUGUAUCUUAUUUCAUAACAUGAUGAAGAAGGAAAUAUAUAUUAUAUGAUAAUAUAUGUGUAACCUAUAUCAUAUCCCUUGCCUUCCUGGGCAAGCAGAAGGGAGAGAACAUGAAUUGAAAAAUGUCAAAUAAAUGAAUGUUUAAAUUGUAUUUACA
Molecule: long non-coding RNA, 777 nt
Filed under: Monodelphis domestica (gray short-tailed opossum)
Lineage: Eukaryota; Metazoa; Chordata; Mammalia; Didelphimorphia; Didelphidae
Description: lncRNA (ENSMODG00000042463.1)
Source: RNAcentral